CGAUCAGUAGGGGUUCUGAGAGGAAGGUCCCCCACAUUGGAACUGAGACACGGUCCAAACUCCUACGGGAGGCAGCAGUGAGGAAUAUUGGUCAAUGGACGAGAGUCUGAACCAGCCAAGUAGCGUGCAGGAUGACGGCCCUAUGGGUUGUAAACUGCUUUUAUAAGGGAAUAAAGUGAGUCUCGUGAGACUUUUUGCAUGUACCUUAUGAAUAAGGACCGGCUAAUUCCGUGCCAGCAGCCGCGGUAAUACGGAAGGUCCGGGCGUUAUCCGGAUUUAUUGGGUUUAAAGGGAGCGUAGGCCGGAGAUUAAGCGUGUUGUGAAAUGUAGACGCUCAACGUCUGCACUGCAGCGCGAACUGGUUUCCUUGAGUACGCACAAAGUGGGCGGAAUUCGUGGUGUAGCGGUGAAAUGCUUAGAUAUCACGAAGAACUCCGAUUGCGAAGGCAGCUCACUGGAGCGCAACUGACGCUGAAGCUCGAAAGUGCGGGUAUCGAACAGGAUUAGAUACCCUGGUAGUCCGCACGGUAAACGAUGGAUGCCCGCUGUUGGUCUGAAUAGGUCAGCGGCCAAGCGAAAGCAUUAAGCAUCCCACCUGGGGAGUAC
This 606-nucleotide ribosomal RNA is filed under the name uncultured bacterium. Its description in RNAcentral is "bacterial SSU rRNA". It matches the Rfam family "Bacterial small subunit ribosomal RNA", at positions 277 to 883 of the family's 1533-position model. The record is from RNAcentral.